AGCCUUAAGUAUCAUUUAAGGUAAGCCCUGCCCAGUGAAAUUUAUAAUUUUUAACGGCCGCAGUACCUUGACUGUGCUAAGGUAGCAAAAUCAGUUGGCUUUUAAAUGGAGUCGAGUAUGAACGGGUUGACUGGAAAACUACUGUCUCUUUUUUAUUUAAUUGAACUUUAUUAAAGGGUGAAAAUUCCCUUGUAAAGAAAAAAGACGAGAAGACCCUAAGAGUUUUGAAAAUAUAGUUAUAAUUAGCUAGUUUUUUUGUUGGGGCAACAAGAAGACAAAAUAAUUCUUCUGAAAAAUAUUUAUAUGCCAAAAUUGUUAAGAACGACUAAACUACCCUAGGGAUAACAGCAUAAUUUUUCAAAAGUUUGUGACCUCGAUGUUGGACUAGGAACUUAAUGACUAGCCGUCAAAAUAGUUUGUUCUGUUCGAACAAUUUCUCCU
RNAcentral lists this ribosomal RNA (441 nucleotides) under Microhedyle sp. ZSM DNA AB35081771. Its description in RNAcentral is "partial 16S ribosomal RNA". It matches the Rfam family "Bacterial large subunit ribosomal RNA", at positions 1832 to 2597 of the family's 2925-position model. The record is from RNAcentral. Lineage: Eukaryota; Metazoa; Mollusca; Gastropoda; Acochlidiacea; Microhedylidae.